GCUUGUCUCAAAGAUUAAGCCAUGCAUGUCUAAGUGUAAAUACGUCUACACUGUGAAACUGCGAAUGGCUCAUUAAAUCAGUUAUCGUUUAUUUGAUGAUCUCUUGUUACAUGGAUAACCGUAGUAAUUCUAGAGCUAAUACAUGCGUCAAGCCCCGACUCACGAAGGGGUGUAUUUAUUAGAUUCAAAGCCAACCGCGCAAGCGUACCUUGGUGAUUCAUAAUAACUUUGCGGAUCGCAUGGCCUUGUGCCGGCGAUGAAUCAUUCAAAUUUCUGCCCUAUCAACUUUCGAUGGUAAGGUAUUGGCCUACCAUGGUUACCACGGGUAACGGGGAAUUAGGGUUCGGUUCCGGAGAGGGGGCCUGAGAAAUGGCCACCACAUCCAAGGAAGGCAGCAGG
Molecule: ribosomal RNA, 399 nt
Filed under: uncultured Cryptophyta
Lineage: Eukaryota; Cryptophyceae
Description: partial small subunit ribosomal RNA
Rfam family: Eukaryotic small subunit ribosomal RNA
Source: RNAcentral